GUGUACUUAAUGAUGGUUGCCAGGACCAAUGGUUAGUAACCCGGCAGAGGGGAGGAGUGGGAGUAGACGUGACAAGAAGCUGAUCGCAAAGAUUUGGUUGAUUCCAUCCAUCCAUCAAUCAGGUAGCCCUUUCAAAGUAUCAGUGAAGAAUGCUUCUGAUGUCAGUGAUUUCAAAAUGUCUGGGACAAGCUUGGAGUCAGGAGUUUGUCCAAACUCCUCAGACCUUCACCAUAAACUGUAGCAAGGCUGGAGAAGUACUAGCAUCUGUGGCUGUUAUGACACCAAGUAGUGGGUCCAAAUUAUAUCAAGAUACUAUACGCACUCAUCUAUUUCAAAUAGACAGCCGUGUUGGUUGUUGCUUGACUAACCAGGUAAGAGAACUUUUGGAGGUGACAGACAAUGGUGAUGGGACAUAUUCAGUGGCCUACUCCCCUUCUAUGGUGGGUCCUCACUCUGGUCGUCAAAUAUGCCAAUGAAGAGGCAUUCUCUAGGUGAGAUCAUUUUUUUUCAGAUGGGAAAUGUUUAGUUUUAAUAUAGUUAUGCUGUACAGAUGCAGGAUCCUAAUCUGACCAAUUUUCCUCAGCAAGACAAUCCUGCAGCAGCAGAAACUGGAUUAUAAUUAACUGACAUUUUUGCAGGUGUUGGUACUUUUGUUAGGGCAAAUCAAGACUGACUUUUGUAAAGUGGAAAUUACUAACUUUAGAAGCCCUUUACACCUCAAAUACAGGACAUUUGCUGCAACAACAGGGUGAUCAAAUUUAAGAUCUUAUAUCUGUAUGUGAAGCAUGAUUUUUACAAACAUAUCCAUAUUGCAUUUCAGUUCUGUCAUUUCUUAUAUGUUGUGUUCCAAGUGUUGCCUACUAAUGAUGCCAACAAGUUGCAUGUGUCGAUCAGGCUUGGAGUCAGGAAUUUGUGCCCACAUCCCUCAGACCUUCACCAUUGACUGUAGCAAGACUGGAGAGGCCCCAGAAUCUGUGGCUGUCAUGACAUCUAGUGGUAAUAUAGUGCUUGCAAAGGUGAAAAAUAAUGGGGAUGGGACAUACUUAGUGUGCUACUCCCCUUCCAUGGAUUCUCUGGUGGCCAGAUGAAGAUGAGUUUCAUAGUCCCUAAAACUUCAAGUUCUACUAACCAAUGACUGUAGCAAGCUGAAAGUUUGUGGGCCAGGCUUGCAGUCUGGAAUUUGUGCAAUGUUCCCUCAGACAUUCACAAUUGACUGGAGAGACCCCAGAGUCUGACUGUUAUGACACCUAGUGGUGAGCUUGUGGCGGUAACAGACAAUGGGGAUGGGACGUACUCAGUAGCCUACUCCCCUUCCAUGGAGGGUUCUCACUCUCUGGUUGUCAAGUAUGAGGAUGAGUUUUGCAGGUAAAAUGAUGCUUAUGGAGAUGGAACCUACUCAGUGGCCUAGUUCCCUUCCAUGAAGGAUCCUCAUUCUCUGGUUGUCAAAUAUGGUAUCGAAGAUGAGUUCUGCAGGUAAGAUAUGGAACAGUUAGAUUCAAUGUAAAUACACUUUUGUGUGCCUUUUUGACCAGUCCGUUUCAGUUCCUUGUCUUGUGCUCUCAUGAUGCCAGUAAAGUGAGAGCCAGAGGUCUGGGCCUGGUAUCUGGGUUACCUGCCAGCCUAUCUUCACAAUUCACCAUAGAUGCAACUGAUGUAGGAGAGGGCCAUUAAUCAGUGAAGAUUACUGUGAGUUAUAAAUUAUGAUUUACAUA
Salvelinus sp. IW2-2015 is the source of this 1712-nucleotide long non-coding RNA. RefSeq lists it as uncharacterized. The record is from RefSeq and is a predicted model, not a curated record. NCBI's taxonomy places the organism in Eukaryota, Metazoa, Chordata, Actinopteri, Salmoniformes, Salmonidae.